Molecule: ribosomal RNA, 1388 nt
Filed under: Staphylococcus aureus
Lineage: Bacteria; Bacillati; Bacillota; Bacilli; Caryophanales; Staphylococcaceae
Description: bacterial SSU rRNA
Rfam family: Bacterial small subunit ribosomal RNA
Source: RNAcentral
CUUCUCUGAUGUUAGCGGCGGACGGGUGAGUAACACGUGGAUAACCUACCUAUAAGACUGGGAUAACUUCGGGAAACCGGAGCUAAUACCGGAUAAUAUUUUGAACCGCAUGGUUCAAAAGUGAAAGACGGUCUUGCUGUCACUUAUAGAUGGAUCCGCGCUGCAUUAGCUAGUUGGUAAGGUAACGGCUUACCAAGGCAACGAUGCAUAGCCGACCUGAGAGGGUGAUCGGCCACACUGGAACUGAGACACGGUCCAGACUCCUACGGGAGGCAGCAGUAGGGAAUCUUCCGCAAUGGGCGAAAGCCUGACGGAGCAACGCCGCGUGAGUGAUGAAGGUCUUCGGAUCGUAAAACUCUGUUAUUAGGGAAGAACAUAUGUGUAAGUAACUGUGCACAUCUUGACGGUACCUAAUCAGAAAGCCACGGCUAACUACGUGCCAGCAGCCGCGGUAAUACGUAGGUGGCAAGCGUUAUCCGGAAUUAUUGGGCGUAAAGCGCGCGUAGGCGGUUUUUUAAGUCUGAUGUGAAAGCCCACGGCUCAACCGUGGAGGGUCAUUGGAAACUGGAAAACUUGAGUGCAGAAGAGGAAAGUGGAAUUCCAUGUGUAGCGGUGAAAUGCGCAGAGAUAUGGAGGAACACCAGUGGCGAAGGCGACUUUCUGGUCUGUAACUGACGCUGAUGUGCGAAAGCGUGGGGAUCAAACAGGAUUAGAUACCCUGGUAGUCCACGCCGUAAACGAUGAGUGCUAAGUGUUAGGGGGUUUCCGCCCCUUAGUGCUGCAGCUAACGCAUUAAGCACUCCGCCUGGGGAGUACGACCGCAAGGUUGAAACUCAAAGGAAUUGACGGGGACCCGCACAAGCGGUGGAGCAUGUGGUUUAAUUCGAAGCAACGCGAAGAACCUUACCAAAUCUUGACAUCCUUUGACAACUCUAGAGAUAGAGCUUUCCCCUUCGGGGGACAAAGUGACAGGUGGUGCAUGGUUGUCGUCAGCUCGUGUCGUGAGAUGUUGGGUUAAGUCCCGCAACGAGCGCAACCCUUAAGCUUAGUUGCCAUCAUUAAGUUGGGCACUCUAAGUUGACUGCCGGUGACAAACCGGAGGAAGGUGGGGAUGACGUCAAAUCAUCAUGCCCCUUAUGAUUUGGGCUACACACGUGCUACAAUGGACAAUACAAAGGGCAGCGAAACCGCGAGGUCAAGCAAAUCCCAUAAAGUUGUUCUCAGUUCGGAUUGUAGUCUGCAACUCGACUACAUGAAGCUGGAAUCGCUAGUAAUCGUAGAUCAGCAUGCUACGGUGAAUACGUUCCCGGGUCUUGUACACACCGCCCGUCACACCACGAGAGUUUGUAACACCCGAAGCCGGUGGAGUAACCUUUUAGGAGCUAGCC